This 317-nucleotide long non-coding RNA is filed under the name Scleropages formosus (Asian bonytongue). RNAcentral's name for it is "lncRNA (ENSSFOG00015026423.1)". Lineage: Eukaryota; Metazoa; Chordata; Actinopteri; Osteoglossiformes; Osteoglossidae. The record is from RNAcentral.
AUUCUGUUUCUUCAUGUCUUUAUGAAACCUUCAGUUCCACGAUACCUUCUGGACGUAAACAAUGACAGUCCUUUUUGUCCUCAUUCCCUGGAUCCUCCUCUCUUUGGAGACAGCAAGGACACUUUUCUUGGGAUGUUCUUCAGAUGAGAAUACACUAAUCUGCAGUGUAUUUUUGGCCAUGCACUGAGGCCAAAAAGAUCAGUCUUGGUCUCUUCACACAGUGCAGUCUUCCUUAUUCAUGUGAGUUGUGUUCAAAUUUGAGUCUCUUUGUUGCCGCUUUAACAACCGCACUCCUCAAAUAGAUGUUCUGUUUUGGA